Molecule: ribosomal RNA, 1437 nt
Filed under: metagenome
Description: bacterial SSU rRNA
Rfam family: Archaeal small subunit ribosomal RNA
Source: RNAcentral
UCCAGUUGAUCCUGCUGGAGGCCGCUGCUAUUGGGAUUCGAUUAAGCCAUGCAAGUUCUGGGGUCGCAAGACACCGGCAUACUGCUCAGUAACACGUCGAUAAUCUGCCCUUGAGUCUGGGAUAACCUUGGGAAACUGAGGCUAAGACUAGAUGGGGGAAUUCUACUGUAAUGUGUUUUCCCCGAAAGGUAACGCUCAAGGAUGAGUUGGCGGCGGAUUAGCUUGUUGGUGGGGUAAUGGCCCACCAAGGCGAUGAUCCGUAGGGGCCUUGGAAGAGGUAGCCCCGAGAAGGGCACUGAGAUACUGGCCCUAGCCCUACGGGGUGCAGCAGGCGCGAAACCUUUACACUGCACGAAAGUGUGAUAAGGGAAUCCCAAGUGCCUAUACAUUGUAUAGGCUUUUUUUUCAAGGGUAAAGACCUUGGAGAAUAAGUGGAGGGUAAGACUGGUGCCAGCAGCCGCGGUAAUACCAGCUCCACGAGUGGGGGCCAUGGUUAUUGGGCCUAAAGCGUUCGUAGCAGGUCAUGUAAAUCUUUUGUGAAAUCGUUGGGCUUAACCUAACGGCGUGCAGAAGACACUGCGUGACUAGAGACCGGGAGGGGUCAGAGGAAUUCUGGGGGGAGUGGUAAAAUGCUAUAAUCCCCGGAAGACCACCUGUGGCGAAGGCGUCUGACCAGAACGGGUCUGACUGUGAGGAACGAAAGCCAGGGGAGCAAACCGGAUUAGAUACCCGAGUAGUCCUGGCUGUAAACGCUGCGAGCAAGGUGUUGCAUAUUCUUAUGUGGAUAUGCAGUGUCGAAGAGAAGUCGUUAAGCUCGCCGCCUGGGAAGUACGGUCGCAAGACUGAAACUUAAAGGAAUUGGCGGGGGAGCACUACAAGGGGUGCGGCGUGCGGUUUAAUUGAACUCAACACCGGGAAUCUCACCAGGAGCGACGGCAGAAUGAAAGUCAGUCUAAAGGGCUUACUUAACAAGCCGAGAGGUGGUGCAUGGUCGUCGUCAGCUCGUGCUGUAAGGUGUCCUGUUAAGUCAGGCAACGAGCGAGACCUGCAUCUACAAUUGCUACCAGCUCUUCACAGAGGACUGAGCACAUUGUAGAGACUGCAUUGGAAACAAUGAGGAAGGUGCAGGCUACGAUAGAUCUGUAUGCCCCGAAUCCCCUGGGCUACACGCGCGCAACAAUGGUAGGGACAAUGGGAUGCAACUCCGAAAGGAGAAGCUAAACCUCGAAACCCUAUCUAAGUCCAGAUCGAGGGCUGCAACUCGCCCUCGUGACGUCGGAAUCCCUAGUAAUCGGACGUCAUCAGCGUCCGGUGAAUACGUCCCUGCUCCUUGCACACACCGCCCGUCAAGCCACCCGAGCAGGGUUCAAGUGAGGCCUGGCCUAUUAGCCAUGUCGAACUUGGGCUCAGUGAGGAGGGCUAAGUCGUCACAAGGUA